Molecule: small nucleolar RNA, 97 nt
Organism: Trypanosoma brucei brucei TREU927
Lineage: Eukaryota; Euglenozoa; Kinetoplastea; Trypanosomatida; Trypanosomatidae
Source: RefSeq, a predicted model, not a curated record
CUUCGUGAUGAUCCCGCGAACUGAGUGUACCUUUUUUCAGCACUUUCGUGCAAUGGAAUGUAAUGGCACGGUGCCCUCUUGUUGGGGUGUACUGAUA